AUUGAACGCUGGCGGCAGGCCUAACACAUGCAAGUCGAGCGGAUGAAGGGAGCUUUCUCCUGGAUUCAGCGGCGGACGGGUGAGUAAUGCCUAGGAAUCUGCCUGGUAGUGGGGGAUAACGUCCGGAAACGGGCGCUAAUACCGCAUACGUCCUGAGGGAGAAAGUGGGGGAUCUUCGGACCUCACGCUAUCAGAUGAGCCUAGGUCGGAUUAGCUAGUUGGUGGGGUAAAGGCCUACCAAGGCGACGAUCCGUAACUGGUCUGAGAGGAUGAUCAGUCACACUGGAACUGAGACACGGUCCAGACUCCUACGGGAGGCAGCAGUGGGGAAUAUUGGACAAUGGGCGAAAGCCUGAUCCAGCCAUGCCGCGUGUGUGAAGAAGGUCUUCGGAUUGUAAAACACUUUAAGUUGGGAGGAAGGGCAGUAAGUUAAUACCUUGCUGUUUUGACGGUACCAACAGAAUAAGCACCGGCUAACUUCGUG
This 484-nucleotide ribosomal RNA is filed under the name uncultured bacterium. RNAcentral describes it as "partial 16S ribosomal RNA". It matches the Rfam family "Bacterial small subunit ribosomal RNA", at positions 30 to 507 of the family's 1533-position model. The record is from RNAcentral.